This 234-nucleotide ribosomal RNA is filed under the name Proteus vulgaris. RNAcentral describes it as "partial 16S ribosomal RNA". It matches the Rfam family "Bacterial small subunit ribosomal RNA", at positions 61 to 283 of the family's 1533-position model. The record is from RNAcentral. Lineage: Bacteria; Pseudomonadati; Pseudomonadota; Gammaproteobacteria; Enterobacterales; Morganellaceae.
GUCGAGCGGUACAGGAGAAAGCUUGCUUUCUUGCUGACGAGCGGCGGACGGGUGAGUAAUGUAUGGGGAUCUGCCCGAUAGAGGGGGAUAACUACUGGAAACGGUGGCUAAUACCGCAUGAYGUCUACGGACCAAAGCAGGGGCUCUUCGGGACCUUGCGCUAAUCGGAAUGAACCCCAGUAUGGGAUUAGGCUAGKUAGGGUGAGGGNNAAUGGGCCUCRCCCCUAAAGGCCG